UUGACUUCGAAAGCUUCCAUGUAGACUUCUUUUUCUUUCUUUAUUGGGGUUCAAGGAUUGUGGAUUUCUGAAUUCCAGUGUAAUUGCAUCAUCUCUUAACAUGCACAAGCUAUCUCGAUGGUAAAAACAUCAUGUAUGCCUUACCUGCUGACUUUUUAACCACCUGUUGCAAGAUUAUAUGCUCUGUAAUAAUGUGACAUAGUCCAUUUUUCCCCUUUAAGUUAUUUUUGUUGCUUAAUUCCCUUGUAAAUUUUUUCGAUAUUUGGAUGUGACUUGUACAAAAUAUAUUAGAAUCUGGAGUAGGGAGCCGUAGCAGCGAGAAAACUGCAUCGCUGUUUAUUUCAAAAAUACUUGAGAGACGGGCUCAUGGUUUUCAAUAUGGAGCUUUAGAGGUGAAGGGUCAUCUGGAAAUGCGUCGUUUUUCAGAUGUUUCUACAGUAAUGAUAUGCUUCUCCCCGAAACACGUAAAAGCACUCACAGUCCCUGGAUCUGUCAUUUUCAUAUAGAUAAGGAAACUAUGAAGACAAGAAGGCUGAAGAUGAGAUCAGUUAUAGAUGCUCUUAACAUGAGAUAUAGAGCCGCAAAAUUGACAAAACCGAAAGCAGGAAUUGACCUUCCAGACUUG
Molecule: long non-coding RNA, 625 nt
Organism: Capsicum annuum
Lineage: Eukaryota; Viridiplantae; Streptophyta; Magnoliopsida; Solanales; Solanaceae
Exons: 3
Source: RefSeq, a predicted model, not a curated record